GACGAACGCUGGCGGCGUGCUUAACACAUGCAAGUCGAACGGUGAAGCGCCUUCCUUUUUGGUGGGUGUGGAUGAGUGGCGAACGGGUGAGUAACACGUGAGUAACCUGCCCCCUUCUUCUGGAUAACCGCAUGAAAGUGUGGCUAAUACGGGAUAUUCUGGGUCUGUCGCAUGAUGGGUCUGGGAAAGAUAUUGUUUCGGUGGGGGAUGGGCUCGCGGCCUAUCAGCUUGUUGGUGGGGUGAUGGCCUACCAAGGCGGUGACGGGUAGCCGGCCUGAGAGGGUGGUCGGUCACACUGGGACUGAGACCCGGCCCAGACUCCUACGGGAGGCAGCAGUGGGGAAUAUUGCACAAUGGGCGCAAGCCUGAUGCAGCGACGCCGCGUGAGGGAUGGAGGCCUUCGGGUUGUGAACCUCUUUCGCCAGUGAAGCAGGCCUGCCUCGUUUGUGGGUGGGUUGACGGUAGCUGGAUAAGAAGCGCCGGCUAACUACGUG
RNAcentral lists this ribosomal RNA (494 nucleotides) under uncultured bacterium. RNAcentral's name for it is "partial 16S ribosomal RNA". It matches the Rfam family "Bacterial small subunit ribosomal RNA", at positions 28 to 507 of the family's 1533-position model. The record is from RNAcentral.